RNAcentral lists this long non-coding RNA (238 nucleotides) under Mustela putorius furo (domestic ferret). RNAcentral's name for it is "lncRNA (ENSMPUG00000027639.1)". Lineage: Eukaryota; Metazoa; Chordata; Mammalia; Carnivora; Mustelidae. The record is from RNAcentral.
AUGACCUGCUCCUCUCCCACCAGCCAACAGAUUGAUCUUUGCUGCCACCUUCAGCUGCCUUUCCAUUUCCAUCCUCUUCCUCGCUGUCUUCUUCAUCAACAGAUGCACCCAGCAUGGUUCGUCACAUGGAGAUUCCACCAAGAGAAUCAGCCAUUCUGAAUUUCCCAAGCAGGAGGCUACAGGUGAGUGGUAAGAGAGAAACCACAAGGGAAUCGUGGGAUGGGAAGAGUAAGUCUCA